This 201-nucleotide unclassified non-coding RNA is filed under the name uncultured Chitinophagaceae bacterium. Its description in RNAcentral is "contains 16S-23S intergenic spacer region". It matches the Rfam family "Bacterial small subunit ribosomal RNA", at positions 986 to 1183 of the family's 1533-position model. Lineage: Bacteria; Pseudomonadati; Bacteroidota; Chitinophagia; Chitinophagales; Chitinophagaceae. The record is from RNAcentral.
UCCGGUUUGAAACCGCCGGUGAAAGCCGGUUUUGUAGCAAUACACAGAUCGUAAGGUGCUGCAUGGCUGUCGUCAGCUCGUGCCGUGAGGUGUUGGGCUAAGUCCCGCAACGAGCGCAACCCCUAUCAGUAGUUGCCAUCAGGUAAUGCUGGGAACUCUACUGAAACUGCCGCCGUAAGGCGCGAGGAAGGUGGGGAUGAC